Cyprinus carpio carpio is the source of this 1610-nucleotide long non-coding RNA. The record is from Ensembl. Lineage: Eukaryota; Metazoa; Chordata; Actinopteri; Cypriniformes; Cyprinidae.
UUCUGAUCGUAUGUAGAUGGAGGUGGUGGAGUAAUAACAUUAUUAUGUUUAUUAUUAUUAUUAUUAUUAUUAUUAUUAUUAUUUGUCUCAUCAUAGACAUUCAAAUCAAAUGCCCAUGUAGUUGUAAACCUUCAAUGAUCAUUUUACUUGAAAUAAAUGUGUUGGUUUGAAGUUUGUAAGUUGGACUGAGUUUUGAAGCUGCCAGCUUCCUGUGCCACCUGGAAAGUGCACAUCAUGAAGCAGGGAGGAAAAUAUUGAGUCUGUCAAAAAAGAGCCAGUGCUGAAAUACUAUUCCAAAAGGUAUGUGUGAUAAAAGGCAUUGUGGAGAAGCGAUGCCAGCCAGCAAACAGAUCUUUGUGGUGAAAAAUAAAAGUUUUGUGUGUCUAUCUAUCUAUCUAUCUAUCUAUCUAUCUAUCUAUCUAUAUUUAUAACAGUUAUUUUAUAUAUAGCAGCUAAAAAUGUCGCUUCCAUUAGACCAUUACCCCAUGCAAAUCUUAAAGAUUCAGAGGUCCAUGCUUGUUCUACAGCUGAUUCCGCAGGUUUUAUAUGGGGAUUGGGUUGGGGAACUGCUGUGACUGCUAUGACCCAAAAUUUUCAAGUGAUAGUUCACCCAAAAAUUGAAAUUUGCUGUCAAUUUUCUCAAAGCACGAUGAAGAUUAUCAUUAGAUACCAUGAGUGCAGGUACUUUUUCAUGUGUCAUUUGAUUAAUAGAAUAAUCCCUGGGUAACGUCCUCAUACAUUGUUGUCUCAGGUGGGAAUCAAAAGUGAAGUAUUGAUUAAUGGGAAGAGGCAUGGAAAUGGUAAUCUCCACUUUUGAAAUUCAUGACCUAAUUUUUUUGCACUAGGUUUAACUUCCACCACUUCUUAGGACCUGGUUCUCUCAUUUCUUAUCUCUAGUAAUAGAAUAGUUCUGUCAAGUCACCACAUAGUUCCUCUGAGUCACACACACACACACACACACACACACACACACACAUAUAUAUAUAAUGCCUUUGGAAUUUGAAGCUGUCUUAUAGAAUAACUAAUAGUGGGAAGUGCAAAUCAGUGGCAAAUGUGAAAUGUAAAAUUCUCCUCAUACCUCAGGUUCAGGUAUUCUCCCUUUUAGAAAAAUAUUCAGUAUUUACUUGCAAGGUCAGCAGCUAUUUCCUCCAUUAGAGUUAGAGAUGAUAAUGUGUUAUAUUAUUUGUAUUUAGUUCAGUCAUUUAAUAUUCCUUUUGAGUUCAGAAAUUCACAACAACAAAAAGUUGUAGGCAUCAGGUGACCUUGGACAACAUGCCUGUUGAUCAGAAACUGUGCUCUGCUUUCAGAUAUGAAUAUUAGUAAUUACUGAUCAAUAAUUGACAGUUGAGAGAUAAAAUAUUUUGAAGUCAGUGUUUUGGUGUCCAAAUUGCAUUGUUGCUUGUUUGUCAUAUAAGAUUUCUUAAGAUACUGUAUAAAAUAGUGGGAGGCCUACAGAUAUCUACUAUUAACCUCUUUGCUGUCAACCCCCAUUUUUGGCAUGGAGACACAAAUGACAUACCCAAAAUAAAAAGGUUGCUGCUCAUCAGUCUUUCUGACUAGAUACAUAAUCAACAUAUGUUAAAAAAGUUGACACUUCAAAGUUUACUGUU